AACGAACGCUGGCGGCAUGCCUAACACAUGCAAGUCGAACGAGACCUUCGGGUCUAGUUGCGCACGGGUGCGUAACGCGUGGGAACCUUCCCUUAGGUUCGGAAUAACUCCCCGAAAGGGGUGCUAAUACCGGAUAAUGUCUUCGGACCAAAGAUUUAUCGCCUUUGGAUGGGCCCGCGUUGGAUUAGCUAGUUGGUAGGGUAAAAGCCUACCAAGGCGACGAUCCAUAGCUGGUCUGAGAGGAUGAUCAGCCACACUGGGACUGAGACACGGCCCAGACUCCUACGGGAGGCAGCAGUGGGGAAUAUUGGACAAUGGGCGAAAGCCUGAUCCAGCAAUGCCGCGUGAGUGAUGAAGGCAUUAGGGUUGUAAAGCUCUUUUACCCGGGAUGAUAAUGACAGUACCGGGAGAAUAAGCUACGGCUAACUCCGUG
This 433-nucleotide ribosomal RNA is filed under the name uncultured bacterium. Its description in RNAcentral is "partial 16S ribosomal RNA". It matches the Rfam family "Bacterial small subunit ribosomal RNA", at positions 29 to 507 of the family's 1533-position model. The record is from RNAcentral.